UGAUGAUCUAUGCUGGUGUUUGGAAUCUGGAUGGUUGUAGUUAAUUGUGCUCUUGUCUUUUAAGUUAUCACUCAAAUCUGGCAUGUGAUCUUCUUGUUUUGUGGCACGAAAAAAUAAUGCCUUUAUGCCAGGGGUUUGGGACUAGCAGUCUUUUUUUCCCCAGAUAUAUUUGGUGAUCAUGGUAGAUGGUUUGUGUACAGUUAUGGUUUAGGACUCUUGG
Molecule: unclassified non-coding RNA, 220 nt
Filed under: Hevea brasiliensis (rubber tree)
Lineage: Eukaryota; Viridiplantae; Streptophyta; Magnoliopsida; Malpighiales; Euphorbiaceae
Source: RNAcentral